Molecule: ribosomal RNA, 491 nt
Filed under: uncultured bacterium
Lineage: Bacteria
Description: partial 16S ribosomal RNA
Rfam family: Bacterial small subunit ribosomal RNA
Source: RNAcentral
GAUGAACGCUGGCUACAGGCUUAACACAUGCAAGUCGAGGGGAAACGACGGGGAAGCUUGCUUCCCCGGGCGUCGACCGGCGCACGGGUGAGUAACGCGUAUCCAACCUGCCUCUGACUGAGGGAUAACCCGUCGAAAGUCGGCCUAAUACCUCAUGGCAUCGUCUGCGGGCAUCCAACGACGAUUAAAGAUUUCAUCGGUCAGGGAUGGGGAUGCGUCUGAUUAGCUAGUUGGCGGGGUAACGGCCCACCAAGGCGACGAUCAGUAGGGGUUCUGAGAGGAAGGGCCCCCACAUUGGAACUGAGACACGGUCCAAACUCCUACGGGAGGCAGCAGUGAGGAAUAUUGGUCAAUGGGCGAGAGCCUGAACCAGCCAAGUAGCGUGCAGGAUGACGGCCCUAUGGGUUGUAAACUGCUUUUAGGAGGGGAUAAAGUGAGGGACGUGUCCUUCAUUGCAGGUACCGCAUGAAUAAGGACCGGCUAAUUCCGUG